UACAGAGGGUGCGAGCGUUAAUCGGAAUUACUGGGCGUAAAGCGCGCGUAGGCGGCUUUGCAAGUCGGGUGUGAAAGCCCCGGGCUCAACCUGGGAAUUGCAUUUGAGACUGCAUAGCUAGGGUGCGGAAGAGGGAAGCGGAAUUUCCGGUGUAGCGGUGAAAUGCGUAGAUAUCGGAAGGAACACCAGUGGCGAAAGCGGCUUCCUGGUCCAGCACCGACGUUCAGGCACGAAAGCGUGGGGAGCAAACAGG
RNAcentral lists this ribosomal RNA (253 nucleotides) under uncultured bacterium. RNAcentral describes it as "partial 16S ribosomal RNA". It matches the Rfam family "Bacterial small subunit ribosomal RNA", at positions 524 to 776 of the family's 1533-position model. The record is from RNAcentral.